This 500-nucleotide ribosomal RNA is filed under the name uncultured bacterium. RNAcentral's name for it is "partial 16S ribosomal RNA". It matches the Rfam family "Bacterial small subunit ribosomal RNA", at positions 30 to 523 of the family's 1533-position model. The record is from RNAcentral.
AUUGAACGCUGGCGGCAUGCCUUACACAUGCAAGUCGAACGGCAGCACGGGAGCAAUCCUGGUGGCGAGUGGCGAACGGGUGAGCAAAGUAUCGGAACGUGCUCAGUCGUGGGGGAUAACGUAGCGAAAGUUACGCUAAUACCGCAUACGAUCUAUGGAUGAAAGCGGGGGAUCGCAAGACCUCGCGCGAUUGGAGCGGCGGAUAUCAGAUUAGGUAGUUGGUGGGGUAAAGGCUCACCAAGCCGACGAUCUGUAGCUGGUCUGAGAGGACGAGCAGCCACACUGGGACUGAGACACGGCCCAGACUCCUACGGGAGGCAGCAGUGGGGAAUUUUGGACAAUGGGCGAAAGCCUGAUCCAGCCAUGCCGCGUGCAGGAUGAAGGCCUUCGGGUUGUAAACUGCUUUUGUACGGAACGAAAAGGUUUGGGCUAAUAAGCUGAGCUCAUGACGGUACCGUAAGAAUAAGCACCGGCUAACUACGUGCCAGCCGCCGCAGUAA